UUACGACCAUAAUAUGUUGAAACAGCGGUUCCCGUAUGUUCACCGAAGUUAACCAACAUCGAGCCUGGCCAGUAUCAAGAUAGGUAACCGUUUGCGAAGACCAGGUUCUGUAAG
Non-coding RNA from Acanthosepion pharaonis, 114 nucleotides. Lineage: Eukaryota; Metazoa; Mollusca; Cephalopoda; Sepiida; Sepiidae. The record is from the annotation of a GenBank genome assembly.